Molecule: ribosomal RNA, 428 nt
Filed under: uncultured prokaryote
Description: bacterial SSU rRNA
Rfam family: Bacterial small subunit ribosomal RNA
Source: RNAcentral
UGAGGAAUUUUGCGCAAUGGGAGCAAUCCUGACGCAGCAACGCCGCGUGGGUGAUGAAGGCCUUCGGGUCGUAAAGCCCUGUCAGGUGGGAAGAAUGUCCCGGGACUGAACAGGUUCCGGGAGUGACGGUACCACCAGAGGAAGCACCGGCUAACUCCGUGCCAGCAGCCGCGGUAAUACGGAGGGUGCAAGCGUUAUUCGGAAUUACUGGGCGUAAAGCGCGUGUAGGCGGUCCUGCAAGUCUGAUGUGAAAGCCCCGGGCUUAACCCGGGAAGUGCAUUGGAAACUGUGGGAAUUGAGUACUGGAGAGGAUGGGGGAAUUCCCGGUGUAGAGGUGGAAUUCGUAGGGAUCGGGAGGAAUAUCAGGGGCGAAGGCGCCCAUCUGGACGGUAACUGACGCUGGGACGCGAAAGCGUGGGGAGCAAACA